Molecule: ribosomal RNA, 777 nt
Filed under: uncultured Neocallimastigales
Lineage: Eukaryota; Fungi; Neocallimastigomycota; Neocallimastigomycetes; Neocallimastigales
Description: partial large subunit ribosomal RNA
Rfam family: Eukaryotic large subunit ribosomal RNA
Source: RNAcentral
ACACGCAUGACACACUGCAUAUCAAUAAGCGGAGGAAAAGAAACUAACAAGGAUUCCCCUAGUAACGGCGAGUGAAGCGGGAAGAGCUCAAAUUUGAAAUCUUAAAGGGUUUCCCUUUACGAAUUGUAGUUUAAAGAAGUGUUUUCUGUUGGAGUUUCGGUAAAAGUUCUUUGGAAUAGGACAUCAUAGAGGGUGAGAAUCCCGUAUUUGACCGUUACUUUCCAGCUGUGUGAUACACUUUCAAAGAGUCGGAUUGUCUGGGAAUGCAGUCCAAAAUGGGUGGUAAAUUUCAUCUAAAGCUAAAUAUUGGCGAGAGACCGAUAGCGAACAAGUACCGUGAGGGAAAGAUGAAAAGAACUUUGAAAAGAGAGUUAAACAGUACGUGAAAUUGUCAAAAGGGAAGCGUUUGACACCAGUGUUGUUUAGUUGAAAAUCAAUUCAAUAAUUUUUGAUUUUAAGUAGUAUUGACUUCAUCAGCUUGCUGCUUUCUUUUCAGGAAAUUAUUGAAUGCACUUUUCAGUUAACAAGUCAACAUCAAUUUCUUUUGUUGUAAAAGGGUAAGAGGAAGGUGGCUUACGCUUCGGCGUAAGUGUUUAUAGCCUUUUACCUCUGCAAUCGGAGAGAUUGAGGACAGCAGCGUAGACUCCUUCGGGGUUAGAUACACUUGUGCUAAGCUAUAGCCUUGUAUAGACAACUUGUUGACUAUGCUCAGUCAUGUAGCUUACUCGCUUGUGCUAUUUUACCUACGCUUAGGAUGUUGAGCGCAUGUCUCUCUCU